AUGUUGAUUUUACCAAAUUAUUUUGCUCAAUUUUUGCCUUUUGCUCAACUAGGAUACCUGUUUUGUCUAAAGAAAGGCAAGCAGUUACUCAAGAUGGGCAAGAGGAAGUUCACUGGUCUGGAAAGCACCCUGAUUGCCCUGUUCUGUCUGGUGACUGUGGUGGCCAUUGUCCUCAUUGCACUGUUAGCAUCAGGACAACCUGGAGUCCAAAUAAGUACUGAACAAAAUGUAACAGAAUUUACACCAGUAUGUCCGAACAUAUUAAUAGAAGAGAGAAUUGACUGCAUCCCAGAUCAACUUGCUACAAAGGUCUGAAAACAUUAUAGAAAAAAUUACAAAAUAGAAUUUCUCACAAAAAGAUUCAUGUUUAAUUAUGAAAAUUUACUUCGUCUCUACUAUAUUGGCGGUUUUAUAACUUUUUUUUUGCUGUUUUUGUCUCUGAACAUCUAAAUGCUUUGUGGGGAAGCUUAACUCCUGUAUAAACAAUUUUAGCUCUUUGUCAGAAGGUCUAUUUUUUCUAGCCACUGUGGCAGUAUACUGUGAGGGGUUGAAGACCUCUGCCAAUAUACUUCCCAGCAGUUUGGCUUUGUGAUAAGCAGGAACAAAAUUAGGCAAACAAGAUAUGGUUAGAAAAAUUGUUUUCAACAAUAUUGCCUAAGCAAUUUAUUUGUCUGGUAGUCAACCAGCAUUUACAAUUAAGCAUAUUUUAGAAAUAGGUCAAGAAGCACUUUACACAGAUGAACAUGAUUUUUAUAAUGCAAUGAACACUUCCAAUUUCCUUUCAGAACUGAUUUGAAUCUCACUUUCUCUCUUUCUUGGUUGUUGUCUCUCAUCUGAGCAAGCACAGAGUUUAGAAAUGACCUUCUUGUUUAAGAAUCCAUGAGUUUAGUUUUCCAGUGAAAAAUAGCAUCUUAAUUUUUUAGUCCUCUCACAUUCAGAACAUUUUUAUAGUGGCUGUUAUAGGAAGGCUAUUACUGAGGCUAUUAUUGUUAUUUUUAUAAUCAUUAUUAUUAUUCAGUUUAUGAUGGAUGUUCUUAAUUUCUGAUGGAAUCUGAUGGGUGCCUGCCAUCUUUCUUUUCUUCGUGGGGUGCAGUUUAUAAGAAAAGACAGAGAGUAUAUUAUGAUAUGUGAUACUUACAUCAUUCACAGCGGUAUAAAAAAUGAUUAAUCAACUGUCUCAGUCUCUCAGUGAAUUCCCAAUCCAAUUCCAGAAAAGACAGUUGUUAAUGCUACUGUCAUGCCAUGGUUUGUAUUAUGAUAUAUAGUUCAAUAAAGUCUGCAGGUUAACAGAUUAGUAAAGGCUC
RNAcentral lists this long non-coding RNA (1304 nucleotides) under Anas platyrhynchos platyrhynchos (common mallard). Its description in RNAcentral is "lncRNA (ENSAPLG00000023084.1)". The record is from RNAcentral. Lineage: Eukaryota; Metazoa; Chordata; Aves; Anseriformes; Anatidae.